This 77-nucleotide transfer RNA is filed under the name bacterium. Its description in RNAcentral is "tRNA-Arg". It matches the Rfam family "tRNA". Rfam says of the family: Transfer RNA (tRNA) molecules are approximately 80 nucleotides in length. Their secondary structure includes four short double-helical elements and three loops (D, anti-codon, and T loops). The record is from RNAcentral.
GCCCCCGUAGCUCAGUUGGAUAGAGCACCAGAUUCCUAAUCUGGGGGUCGUGGGUUCGAGCCCCGCCGGGGGUACCA